RNAcentral lists this unclassified non-coding RNA (265 nucleotides) under Hevea brasiliensis (rubber tree). Lineage: Eukaryota; Viridiplantae; Streptophyta; Magnoliopsida; Malpighiales; Euphorbiaceae. The record is from RNAcentral.
UUAUCUGGUCUUGAAUGUCUUAACAAAAAUGGGGUUCAGAAAAAUACUUCGAAAAUGCGGAGAAUGAACAGAAUAAUCAAGAUAAUAUAGAGAGAAUUUUCAUUAGAAGAAGGUAUAAAUGAUCAAAACGAAUUUUAGGAAAAAGAUCUCUGAAUUCUUCUGUUUGAACAAGAAAAGAAGUGAAAGGAGAAUUUCAUUUCUCAACUCGAUGUGAUUAACUUAAAAUGCACUUCUCUCAUAUUUUAAUGAUAACAACCUAAAGUAA